This 647-nucleotide long non-coding RNA is filed under the name Gossypium barbadense (sea-island cotton). RNAcentral describes it as "long non-coding RNA (GBAR_LNC001836)". The record is from RNAcentral. Lineage: Eukaryota; Viridiplantae; Streptophyta; Magnoliopsida; Malvales; Malvaceae.
AGCCCAAAUCUCCGUCUCUCUCCCAUUUCGGAUGCUCAGUUCUCACCUUAUGUUGGCGGGAUGGCAUUCUCUCCCACUUCAUCCCCUGGUUACAGCCCAUCAUCUCCUGGCUACAGUCCUUCAUCUCCUGGCUACAGUCCUACCUCGCCUGGUUACAGCCCUACAUCUCCUGGCUACAGUCCUACCUCGCCUGGUUACAGCCCCACAUCACCUACUUACAGUCCUAGUUCACCAGGUUACAGCCCAACAAGUCCAGCCUACUCUCCUACAAGUCCCUCUUAUUCUCCAACCUCACCAAGCUAUAGCCCUACCUCUCCAAGCUACAGCCCUACGUCUCCAAGUUACAGUCCUACUUCACCAAGUUAUAGUCCCACAUCUCCCAGCUAUAGUCCAACUUCACCAAGCUACAGCCCUACUUCACCGGCAUAUAGCCCAACUUCACCUGCAUACAGCCCCACUUCUCCAUCAUACAGCCCAACAUCGCCAUCAUACAGUCCGACAUCUCCUUCUUACAGCCCAACCUCACCCUCCUAUAGCCCUACAUCUCCAUCAUACAGCCCUACGUCCCCAGCAUAUAGCCCCACUUCUCCCGGGUACAGUCCGACCUCACCAAGUUAUGGUCCCACGUCACCUAGCUAUAGCCCUAC